GACGAACGCUGGCGGCGUGCUUAACACAUGCAAGUCGAACGAUGAAGCCCAGCUUGCUGGGUGGAUUAGUGGCGAACGGGUGAGUAACACGUGGGCAACCUGCCCCAAACUCUGGGAUAACUCCUCGAAAGAGGUGCUAAUACCGGAUACGAACUAGACAGACAUCUGUACUAGUUGGAAAGUUUUUCGGUUUGGGAUGGGCCCGCGGCCUAUCAGCUUGUUGGGGAGGUAACGGCUCACCAAGGCUACGACGGGUAACCGGCCUGAGAGGGCGACCGGUCACACUGGGGCUGAGACACGGCCCAGACUCCUACGGGAGGCAGCAGUGGGGAAUAUUGCGCAAUGGGCGAAAGCCUGACGCAGCGACGCCGCGUGAGGGAUGAAGGUCUUCGGAUCGUAAACCUCUUUCAGUAGGGACGAAGCGAAAGUGACGGUACCUAAAGAAGAAGCACCGGCUAACUACGUGCCAGCCGCCGCGGUAA
This 482-nucleotide ribosomal RNA is filed under the name uncultured bacterium. Its description in RNAcentral is "partial 16S ribosomal RNA". It matches the Rfam family "Bacterial small subunit ribosomal RNA", at positions 28 to 523 of the family's 1533-position model. The record is from RNAcentral.